This 176-nucleotide ribosomal RNA is filed under the name uncultured Pseudomonas sp. RNAcentral's name for it is "partial 16S ribosomal RNA". It matches the Rfam family "Bacterial small subunit ribosomal RNA", at positions 334 to 501 of the family's 1533-position model. The record is from RNAcentral. Lineage: Bacteria; Pseudomonadati; Pseudomonadota; Gammaproteobacteria; Pseudomonadales; Pseudomonadaceae.
GAUCCCUACGGGAGGCAGCAGUGGGGAAUAUUGGACAAUGGGCGAAAGCCUGAUCCAGCCAUGCCGCGUGUGUGAAGAAGGUCUUCGGAUUGUAAAGCACUUUAAGUUGGGAGGAAAGGGCAAUUUACCUAAUACGUUAGUGUUUUGACGUACCGACAGAAAAAGCACCGGCAUCC